RNAcentral lists this small nuclear RNA (20 nucleotides) under Arabidopsis thaliana (thale cress). RNAcentral's name for it is "snRNA_02552". Lineage: Eukaryota; Viridiplantae; Streptophyta; Magnoliopsida; Brassicales; Brassicaceae. The record is from RNAcentral.
UACCAGCACUAAUGCACCGG